Molecule: transfer RNA, 88 nt
Filed under: Propionibacterium cyclohexanicum
Lineage: Bacteria; Bacillati; Actinomycetota; Actinomycetes; Propionibacteriales; Propionibacteriaceae
Rfam family: tRNA
About the family: Transfer RNA (tRNA) molecules are approximately 80 nucleotides in length. Their secondary structure includes four short double-helical elements and three loops (D, anti-codon, and T loops).
Source: Rfam by way of RNAcentral
GUCCGGGUGGCGGAAUAGGUAGACGCGCUAGCUUGAGGUGCUAGUGCCCGAUUAAAAGGGCAUGGAGGUUCAAGUCCUCUCUCGGACA